GUCCACGCCGUAAACGAUGAACGCUAGCCGUUGGAUAGCUUGCUAUUCAGUGGCGCAGCUAACGCAUUAAGCGUUCCGCCUGGGGAGUACGGCCGCAAGGUUGAAACUCAAAGGAAUUGACGGGGGCCCGCACAAGCGGUGGAGCAUGUGGUUUAAUUCGACGCAACGCGCAGAACCUUACCAGGGUUUGACAUCCUGCGACCGCUCCUUAAUGGGAGUUUUCCCGCAAGGGACGCAGAGACAGGUGCUGCAUGGCUGUCGU
This 262-nucleotide ribosomal RNA is filed under the name uncultured bacterium. RNAcentral's name for it is "partial 16S ribosomal RNA". It matches the Rfam family "Bacterial small subunit ribosomal RNA", at positions 793 to 1055 of the family's 1533-position model. The record is from RNAcentral.